CGGGUAGUAUCCUUAAUUGGAACUGCACCUGCACUUAGUUUUAUCACAUAUUUGAAUAAAAGUUCUGCCUUGAUCCGGAAUGCGGACUGGGACAGAGGG
Bacillus sp. HMSC76G11 is the source of this 99-nucleotide non-coding RNA. The record is from Rfam. NCBI's taxonomy places the organism in Bacteria, Bacillati, Bacillota, Bacilli, Caryophanales, Bacillaceae.